This 229-nucleotide unclassified non-coding RNA is filed under the name plant metagenome. Its description in RNAcentral is "partial contains small subunit ribosomal RNA, internal transcribed spacer 1, and 5.8S ribosomal RNA". The record is from RNAcentral.
UCUCCGUAGGUGAACCUGCGGAGGGAUCAUUACAGAGUUCAUGCCCUACCGGGUAGAUCUCCCACCCUAUGUUAUUAUUACUUUGUUGCUUUGGCGGGCCGUUAGGCUCCGGCCCGACUACCGGCCCCGGCUGGUUAGCGCCCGCCAGAGGACCCAAAACCCUGAAUAUUAGUGUCGUCUGAGUACUAUAUAAUAGUUAAAACUUUCAACAACGGAUCUCUUGGUUCUG